This 433-nucleotide ribosomal RNA is filed under the name uncultured bacterium. Its description in RNAcentral is "partial 16S ribosomal RNA". It matches the Rfam family "Bacterial small subunit ribosomal RNA", at positions 29 to 507 of the family's 1533-position model. The record is from RNAcentral.
AACGAACGCUGGCGGCAUGCCUAACACAUGCAAGUCGAACGAGACCUUCGGGUUUAGUGGCGCAAUGGUGCGUGACCCGUUGAAACAUGCCCUUAAGUCCGCAAUAACUUCCCGGAUGAGGUGCGAAUACCGGCGCUUAUCCUCCAACCAAAGAUUUAGCGCCUUUGGAUGGGCCUGCGUUGGAUUACCUUGUUGUUAGGGUAAAAGGCUACAAAGGGUACGAUCCAUAGCUGGUUUGAGAGGCUGCUCCGCCACACUGGUACUGAGACGCGGCCCGGAAUCCUACGGGAGGCAGCAGUGGGUAAUAUUGGAAAAUGGGCGAAGGCCUGAUGCAGCAAUGCCGCGUGAGUAAUGAAGGUCGUAGGGUUGUAAAGCUCUUUUACACGGGAUGAUAAUGACAGUACCAGGAGAAUAAGCACCGGCUAACUCCGUG